CUCUUUCUUCAGUUGGAAACCCUGGACUGGUGUCUCGCAGUUCACUUUGGAGAUGUUACUUUCACUGGGAGUUUCAUGAUUUGUGUUUUAGCCAAAUCACUCUGAGACGCAGCACCAGAUCCAAGAUCAGCUUUCAUCGCAUUACUUUCAUCUUCCCCUGCAGUCACAUCCUGACCUUCACACCAACUCUGACACCCUCCGCUAUAAUGAGUUGGAGCUCAUGGCGAAAGCAGUAUUUGGCUUUCAUCUUUCUUUAAGCUCACUCGACCAUCUCUCUCUUUCUCUUGACUGUAGAUCCAGUGAGGAGGGACAAAGGAAGGAAUGGUGCAUUUACCAACAGCAACCAAAUCCUGCAUGGUAUGCCCUUAUUUUCUGUCAGCACCAAACAGGAACAAGUGACUGUUUUUCUUUAAUUUGGAUAAAUGUACAGGAG
RNAcentral lists this long non-coding RNA (433 nucleotides) under Sparus aurata (gilthead seabream). Its description in RNAcentral is "lncRNA (ENSSAUG00010021459.1)". Lineage: Eukaryota; Metazoa; Chordata; Actinopteri; Spariformes; Sparidae. The record is from RNAcentral.